RNAcentral lists this unclassified non-coding RNA (495 nucleotides) under Hevea brasiliensis (rubber tree). Lineage: Eukaryota; Viridiplantae; Streptophyta; Magnoliopsida; Malpighiales; Euphorbiaceae. The record is from RNAcentral.
AAAAAAAAAAAAAAAAAAGAUGACCUGACAAGUUGGAUCAACAUUAACUGCAAGCCACUAACAUAUCAUGUGUCAAAGCACACUAAUGACAAGGAAAGCAUCAUAGAUAAGCAUGCGACAGUUUUUCCACCAACAAUGACAAAUCAUAUAUACGUGUACACUGGAUUGUAACUUCUAUAAAUGCUCAAUAAGAAAGGAAAGAACCACCCUAUUCCAAGGUGGGAAACCAAAAUUUCCAAGCAUAGUGAUUUACAAGUCAAAUUAAAACACCAGUCACCAAGUUUCCAAGGGAAAAAAUGGUUGAAUGUGCCAAUUCAAACUUGACAUUUAAAACUCAUUGGAAUGAAACAUGGUUGGGGGAAAGGAAGGGAAAUCAAUGAGGGCUAACCUACCUAUAGUCCAAGGUCUAGUAGCCUCCUGAUUACCCAAAAGAAGAAUAAAUAGAUGGGGCAAGAGGGAAGAAUAAGGUUAAAGAUUAGACUAACCAAUAUUCGA